Molecule: small nuclear RNA, 107 nt
Filed under: Salvator merianae (Argentine black and white tegu)
Lineage: Eukaryota; Metazoa; Chordata; Lepidosauria; Squamata; Teiidae
Source: RNAcentral
GUGCUCACUUCGACAGCAUAUAUACUAAAAUUGGAACGAUACAGAGAAGAUUAGCAGGGUCCCUGUGCAAGGAUGACAUGCACAUUCGUGAAAUGUUCCAUUUUUUA